This 385-nucleotide ribosomal RNA is filed under the name uncultured bacterium. RNAcentral's name for it is "bacterial SSU rRNA". It matches the Rfam family "Bacterial small subunit ribosomal RNA", at positions 29 to 416 of the family's 1533-position model. The record is from RNAcentral.
AUUAAACGCUGGCGGCAUGCCUUACACAUGCAAGUCGAACGGUAGCGCGGGGCAACCUGGCGACGAGUGGCGAACGGGUGAGUAAAGCAUCGGAACGUGCCCUGGAAUGGGGGAUAACGUAGCGAAAGUUACGCUAAUACCGCAUAUUCUGUGAGCAGGAAAGCAGGGGAUCGCAAGACCUUGCGUUCUGGGGAGCGGCCGAUGUCGGAUUAGCUAGUUGGUGGGGUAAAAGCCUACCAAGGCGACGAUCCGUAGCGGGUCUGAGAGGAUGAUCCGCCACACUGGGACUGAGACACGGCCCAGACUCCUACGGGAGGCAGCAGUGGGGAAUUUUGGACAAUGGGCGGAAGCCUGAUCCAGCCAUGCCGCGUGAGUGAAGAAGGCC